This 1493-nucleotide long non-coding RNA is filed under the name Gallus gallus (chicken). Its description in RNAcentral is "lncRNA (ENSGALG00010021876.1)". Lineage: Eukaryota; Metazoa; Chordata; Aves; Galliformes; Phasianidae. The record is from RNAcentral.
GGACAACCUACUGCUAGGCUGAGACAAGCCUGCGGUCAUGGAGGGUGAUAGAUAAGGGCUGGAAUGGAGCCUUGGGGCAUUCAGAGAGGAGAGAAAGGGUAGUGAGCUGGAUCCAAUGGCCUUUCAGCAUAAUGCAGGGUGGGGAGGUGAAAGAGGACAGCUGGUGUCAGCCUCAGCCUUCCCAGAGUGUCCCCCAAAGUGACCACCAGCCACAGGAGUCAGGGUGAGGAGUGCAUAGCCGUGUCCCUUGUGCUGUGUCACUGUGAGGGAUCCUGAGCAGCUCCUGGUUGAUGGGCACCUGUACUGACUGUGAGUACGUGGGUACAAGAGUGUGAGCAAAAGCAGGCUUGUUUUUAAAAUAAAACCCCUCUCCUCUUCCAAAGUCUCCUCUUGAGAUAGGCUUCUAUCAUCGUUACCCAACGCAGGAGUGUUUCCUAUGCCAGGAAUGCAGAGCGCUCAUCAGCGCAUCAGUGCUUAAAUCUGCAAGAUCAAAAAGGUGCAAUCUUACUCCCUUCUAAGGGUAGAGGAGUCCAAAGAAGAUACUCAAAGCCCAGACUUAAAAACCAUUUGAGCAUUUGAAGAAAAAAACCCACGGGUGAUACAGAUACAACCAAACUGCUGGGCACUCCAAAAAAAGUGGAGAACAGCUAUGAAAACUGGAUAUAAAUCUGACUCCUCCGCGCUGCCAAAUACGCACUGUCGCUCGGGGUUUGUUCUAUUGAUUCAUGAGAAAGAUGACGGCACUCUCUCACGUAAUAAUCUCCGUGACUGCUGCUGCUCACACCAGGUGUUCUGGACGGGACCGCCUGCAGGCUGGGGCAGCUCCCAGCUCACUGUCACCGCCUCUUCUGUUUGCGUUAUGGGUUACUGCAUGGCCAAGAUCCACACUGCGCAACACCACGUGGACUUCAUACAAAUGUAUGAACCUUCCCCACAGCGUUUGCAGAGAUGAGAGCUGGCACCUUGGGCAGACUGGUGUCUGGGAUGCUGGAAUGAGAAAGGAACUGAGCAAGCAGACGCGCAGUUGACUCAGGAGGUGCCAUUGCUGGGGCUUCAAAAUCGCUGUGCAAACAAAGCCUGCUCCUCAGCCAGCUGCUUCCCAGACUCUACUGGCACAUGGGGCCACUCCAACCCACAUCUCUAUUCAGCUCCAGGAUGUUUCUGUCCGCCUGACAUUGUCCAAGUCCUGCUCAAUGGAAGCGCUGGUGCUCACCCCACCAACCACCUCAUCUGCUGUUGUCUGCACAUUUGCAGAGGAUGCUUCUGCCUCUUGUGGGAUCCACCACUAGACAUCUCCUGGCACCAUUUCCUGCACUUUCACACACUCUUCUCCCUGGCAAAGCUCUUUUAAGCGGUCCCUGCUGCAGGCUUCCCUCCCUUUCCCUCCCCACUUGUGCUGACACAGCUGUUUGGGGGCAGGCUGGCAAACCAGAUUGGUGGGCGGAUGUGGGAUACACGCGGCCCUCACAGAUAUUUUUGUCCCAGCUGCAGAU